AGAGUUUGAUCAUGGCUCAGAUUAAACGCUGGCGGCAUGCCUUACACAUGCAAGUCGAACGGCAGCACGGGGGCAACCCUGGUGGCGAGUGGCGGACGGGUGAGUAAAGCAUCGGAACGUGCCCUGGAGUGGGGGAUAACGUAGCGAAAGUUACGCUAAUACCGCAUAUUCUGUGAGCAGGAAAGCAGGGGAUCGCAAGACCUUGCGCUCUGGGAGCGGCCGAUGUCGGAUUAGCUAGUUGGUGGGGUAAAGGCCUACCAAGGCGACGAUCCGUAGCGGGUCUGAGAGGAUGAUCCGCCACACUGGGACUGAGACACGGCCCAGACUCCUACGGGAGGCAGCAGUGGGGAAUUUUGGACAAUGGGCGAAAGCCUGAUCCAGCCAUGCCGCGUGAGUGAAGAAGGCCUUCGGGUUGUAAAGCUCUUUCGGUGGGGAAGAAAUUGCAUGGGCUAAUACCCUGUGUAGAUGACGGUACCUGGAGAAGAAGCACCGGCUAACUACGUG
RNAcentral lists this ribosomal RNA (504 nucleotides) under uncultured bacterium. RNAcentral's name for it is "bacterial SSU rRNA". It matches the Rfam family "Bacterial small subunit ribosomal RNA", at positions 8 to 507 of the family's 1533-position model. The record is from RNAcentral.